Molecule: ribosomal RNA, 426 nt
Filed under: uncultured Lysobacteraceae bacterium
Lineage: Bacteria; Pseudomonadati; Pseudomonadota; Gammaproteobacteria; Lysobacterales; Lysobacteraceae
Description: bacterial SSU rRNA
Rfam family: Bacterial small subunit ribosomal RNA
Source: RNAcentral
GGGGAAUAUUGGACAAUGGGCGCAAGCCUGAUCCAGCGAUGCCGCGUGGGUGAAGAAGGCCUUCGGGUUGUAAAGCCCUUUUGUUGGGAAAGAAAAGCAGCCGGCCAAUACCCGGUUGUUCUGACGGUACCCAAAGAAUAAGCACCGGCUAACUUCGUGCCAGCAGCCGCGGUAAUACGAAGGGUGCAAGCGUUACUCGGAAUUACUGGGCGUAAAGCGUGCGUAGGUGGUGGUUUAAGUCCGUUGUGAAAGCCCUGGGCUCAACCUGGGAAACGCAGGUGAUUCUGGGUUAAUAGGGUGGGGCAGAGGGUAGGGGAAUUGCCGGUGUAGCAGUGAAAUGCGUAGAGAUCGGGAGGAACAUCAGUGGCGAAGGCGACUGCCUGGGCCAACACUGACACUGAGGCACGAAAGCGUGGGGAGCAAACA